ACGGAAGGCGCAGUGGGGAAUAUUGCACAAUGGGCGAAAGCCUGAUGCAGCGACGCCGCGUGAACGAAGAAGUAUUUCGGUAUGUAAAGUUCUAUCAGCAGGGAAGAUAAUGACGGUACCUGACUAAGAAGCACCGGCUAAAUACGUGCCAGCAGCCGCGGUAAUACGUAUGGUGCAAGCGUUAUCCGGAUUUACUGGGUGUAAAGGGAGCGUAGGCGGUAUGCUAAGUCUGAUGUGAAAGCCCGAGGCUCAACCUCGGUACUGCAUUGGAAACUGGUAAACUAGAGUGUCGGAGGGGUAAGUGGAAUUCCUAGUGUAGCGGUGAAAUGCGUAGAUAUUAGGAGGAACACCAGUGGCGAAGGCGGCUUACUGGACUGUAACUGACGUUGAGGCUCGAAAGCGUGGGGAGCAAACAGGAUUAGAUACCCUGGUA
Molecule: ribosomal RNA, 433 nt
Filed under: uncultured Roseburia sp.
Lineage: Bacteria; Bacillati; Bacillota; Clostridia; Lachnospirales; Lachnospiraceae
Description: partial 16S ribosomal RNA
Rfam family: Bacterial small subunit ribosomal RNA
Source: RNAcentral